RNAcentral lists this ribosomal RNA (351 nucleotides) under uncultured bacterium. Its description in RNAcentral is "partial 16S ribosomal RNA". It matches the Rfam family "Bacterial small subunit ribosomal RNA", at positions 338 to 704 of the family's 1533-position model. The record is from RNAcentral.
CCUACGGGAGGCAGCAGUGGGGAAUAUUGGGCAAUGGGCGCAAGCCUGACCCAGCAACGCCGCGUGAAGGAAGAAGGCUUUCGGGUUGUAAACUUCUUUUGACAGGGAAGAGGAGAAGACGGUACCUGGCGAAUAAGCCAGGGCUAACUACGGGCCAGCAGCCGCGGUAAUAAGGAGGUGGCAAGCGUUGUCCGGAUGUACGGGGUGGAAAGGGCGGGUAGACGGGUGGAAAAGUCAGAUGUGCAAUCCUGCGGCUUAACCGCCGAACGGCAUUUGAAACUGUUGAUCUUGAGUACUGGAGCGGCAGCCGGAAUUCCUCGUGUAGCUGUCACAUGCGUAGCUCUUUGGAGG